CUUCGCAUCCUCGAGGAUCACCGCGUACAUCGUCGCAUAGCAGCGAUCCGGCACCAUGGCGAUGCAGUCCUGCAGCUCGUCAUCCUUGUUCCACAUCCUGCCGCCGUCGCGAACGACGUUUGGCAUCGAUGCGUCGACGAUGACGUUGUUGGGAACGUGCAGG
Molecule: ribosomal RNA, 163 nt
Filed under: uncultured eukaryote
Lineage: Eukaryota
Description: partial small subunit ribosomal RNA
Source: RNAcentral